RNAcentral lists this long non-coding RNA (568 nucleotides) under Homo sapiens (human). Its description in RNAcentral is "non-protein coding lnc-FRMD5-3:1". The record is from RNAcentral. Lineage: Eukaryota; Metazoa; Chordata; Mammalia; Primates; Hominidae.
UCUCUCUCUCUCUCUCUCUCUCUCUCUCUCUCUCUCUCGCUCUCUCUCUCUCUCGCUCGCUCGCUCUCUUUCUCUCUCCCCGCCCAGAGUUUUCUCUGUCGCGUAGGGUGUUGUGUUAAUUUUGGCGGUCUCAGAUGUCUCAGGUACCUGGGUCGGAGUCCUUUCUGUUGUUAUCUACUGGAUUCCCUUGAUUCAAGGCCUAGGGAGUUCCUGCCCUACACUGGCCCUCGCGAAAAUAUUUGUCUUUGAGGACGUCUGGGGCUGCGACCGCGGAAUAGAAAAAAAUAGUAGCACCUGCUGCAGAUGCUAGUGUGCCAUCACAAUAAAUCCUCCUGUGCUGACUUUCAGGCAGAAGACACAGCUGUGAGCAGAGCUGGUCAUGUGUCAUCUACUGCUUUUUAAGCAGAUCCUCGUGUGUAUCCAUUGUCUGAGCUUUAAGUAGAAGCUUUUUUAACCUACAUAGUUUUUCACUGAAUCUGUUAGUUUCAGCAUGCUGUUUGUGUUGUUUUCAGUAGUGCAAUUCCUGAUAUCUAUCAAGUAAACACCAUUAAGGAUUGAGCUCACUUCA